Molecule: unclassified non-coding RNA, 382 nt
Filed under: uncultured Alphaproteobacteria bacterium
Lineage: Bacteria; Pseudomonadati; Pseudomonadota; Alphaproteobacteria
Description: contains 16S-23S intergenic spacer region
Source: RNAcentral
UCCGGCUUGUCACCGGCAGUUUCUCCAAAGUGCCCAGCAUUACCUGAUGGCAACUGGAGACGAGGGUUGCGCUCGUUGCGGGACUUAACCCAACAUCUCACGACACGAGCUGACGACAGCCAUGCAGCACCUGUGUUGACUCCGGCCGAACCGAAGGGACCGUCUCUGGUCCCGGCGAGUCACAUGUCAAGGGCUGGUAAGGUUCUGCGCGUUGCGUCGAAUUGAACCACAUGCUCCACCGCUUGUGCGGGCCCCCGUCAAUUCCUUUGAGUUUCAGCCUUGCGGCCGUACUCCCCAGGCGGGGCACUUACUGCGUUAGCGACGGCACCGGGAGGGUCGCUCCCCCCGACGCCUAGUGCCCAUCGUUUACGGCGUGGACUAC